RNAcentral lists this small nuclear RNA (148 nucleotides) under Dasypus novemcinctus (nine-banded armadillo). RNAcentral's name for it is "U1 spliceosomal RNA (ENSDNOG00000029035.2)". It matches the Rfam family "U1 spliceosomal RNA". Rfam says of the family: U1 is a small nuclear RNA (snRNA) component of the spliceosome (involved in pre-mRNA splicing). Lineage: Eukaryota; Metazoa; Chordata; Mammalia; Cingulata; Dasypodidae. The record is from RNAcentral.
AUACUUGCCUGGCAGGGAAAAUACCGUAAUCAUGAAGGUGGUUUUCCCAUGGCGAGACUUACCCAUUGCACUCCUGUGAUUCCCCAAAUGUGGGAAACUGGACGGUAUAAUUUGUGGGAGUGGUGGACUGCGUUUGCACUUUCCCCUG